CAGCAGCCGCGGGAAUACGAAGGGGGCUAGCGUUGCUCGGAAUGACUGGGCGUAAAGGGCGCGUAGGCGGUUUGCACAGUCAGAUGUGAAAUUCCUGGGCUUAACCUGGGGGCUGCAUUUGAUACGUGUGGACUAGAGUGGGGAAGAGGGUCGUGGAAUUCCCAGUGUAGAGGUGAAAUUCGUAGAUAUUGGGAAGAACACCGGUGGCGAAGGCGGCGACCUGGUCCUUGACUGACGCUGAGGCGCGAAAGCGUGGGGAGCAAACAGGAUUAGAUACCCCCGUAGUCCCUGUCUCUUAUAC
This 301-nucleotide ribosomal RNA is filed under the name uncultured bacterium. RNAcentral describes it as "partial 16S ribosomal RNA". It matches the Rfam family "Bacterial small subunit ribosomal RNA", at positions 509 to 807 of the family's 1533-position model. The record is from RNAcentral.